RNAcentral lists this long non-coding RNA (221 nucleotides) under Prunus dulcis (almond). Its description in RNAcentral is "sRNA ncRNA". Lineage: Eukaryota; Viridiplantae; Streptophyta; Magnoliopsida; Rosales; Rosaceae. The record is from RNAcentral.
CUAAAUUGUCUUAUAUAUUCCCAUAUUCUCUUCUCCUUAGAGAAACAACAACGUUUACAUGGGGUUCAAAGAGCAAACUUGACUCUCUUUUAGUUCAAAAUUGGGUCCAUGUUUUCGGGGCCAAUGGUCACCAAGAGUUCAUGACAUUGUCAUUCGACUGCUUCAAAAAUUUCGGAUCUUUCUGCUCAGCUCAUGCAGCUUGCGAUUACCAAAGGUGCCGU